CAUGUCGUGAACCAACCACGGUUCUAUGACUCUGGCAGUCUGGCUACAUAUUUCACGCAUACGCAUUAGCUUUUAAAAUUUUGCAAACGGCAUGACAAUGCCGUGGCGCCGUGGCAAAGAAGGCGGGCAAACUGGCAAAGUGCUGAACUGGUGGCGUAUAAAUUCUCUCCUAGGUCAGAACUUAGAAGUAUAUAUAGCGAGUGAUAGGAUGUCCUUCAGAUGAUUGCAUGAAACUUUUGGUGAAAACCAUGAAUUCAAAUGGAAGAAUUCCAUUGGUGGUGAUUUUGAGGAGAGAUGAAUUAGGUCUUGGAUUGUCUACCAUCUGUGGAGUGAAGGGAGUUAUAACUUUGGGUUAUAUUCCAUGAUGGUGACCUCUGGGGUAUGCUCUGCUGGACAAUGUGGUAGACCAUUCUUUAUGGUGAUACUGUGCUUCUGAUGUUUAUAGCUGCUGUUACAGUGCCUCUACUGGCAUUUUAAUUUUGGGGUCUACCUACCUUCUACAUUUACUCCACAAUCCCUUGGGUUGUUGUGUCGGCUUAUCGCAUAGACUGGUCUUGUUCUGGGACUUGGCGGUUUUAAGUUGGAUAGUUGGUAAAGAAAAUUGCUAAAUCAUCUGAAACUUCUGCAGAGCUGUGUGAAAUAAUUGCCGCCACAGUUUUGAUUCCUCGACAAGUCUUUGUUGUAUGCCAUCAGAUAGAUCGAAGGUUCGGAAUGGGAUGGAAUUCCCGCCGAAUUGAAAAUUGAGCAUCUUGGCCAUCUACUCUUGAUUGUCGAAUCCGUUGCCAAAAAAUAAAUCUUUGUUGAUUGUUCUCUUA
RNAcentral lists this long non-coding RNA (815 nucleotides) under Daphnia magna. RNAcentral describes it as "uncharacterized LOC116923066, transcript variant X2". The record is from RNAcentral. Lineage: Eukaryota; Metazoa; Arthropoda; Branchiopoda; Diplostraca; Daphniidae.